Molecule: ribosomal RNA, 460 nt
Filed under: uncultured bacterium
Lineage: Bacteria
Description: partial 16S ribosomal RNA
Rfam family: Bacterial small subunit ribosomal RNA
Source: RNAcentral
CCUACGGGAGGCAGCAGUGAGGAAUAUUGGUCAAUGGGCGCGAGCCUGAACCAGCCAAGUCGCGUGAGGGAUGAAGGUUCUAUGGAUCGUAAACCUCUUUUAUAAGGGAAUAAAGUGUGGGAUGUGUCCUAUUUUGUAUGUACCUUAUGAAUAAGGAUCGGCUAACUCCGUGCCAGCAGCCGCGGUAAUACGGAGGAUCCGAGCGUUAUCCGGAUUUAUUGGGUUUAAAGGGUGUGUAGGCGGCCUUUUAAGGCAGCGGUGAAAGUCUGUGGCUCAACCAUAGAAUUGCCUUUGAAACUGGGGGGCUUGAGUAUGUUUGAGGCAGGCGGAAUGCGUGGUGUAGCGGUGAAAUGCUUAGAUAUCACGCAGAACCCCGAUUGCGAAGGCAGCCUGCUAAGCCAUGACUGACGCUGAUGCACGAAAGCGUGGGGAUCAAACAGGAUUAGAUACCCCAGUAGUC